Sapajus apella (tufted capuchin) is the source of this 81-nucleotide small nucleolar RNA. RefSeq annotates it as small nucleolar RNA SNORD74. NCBI's taxonomy places the organism in Eukaryota, Metazoa, Chordata, Mammalia, Primates, Cebidae. The transcript has a single exon. The record is from RefSeq and is a predicted model, not a curated record.
UUUAGGAACAGCCUUUGAGGAAGCUGUUGUCGGUAGGGACGUCUGAGUGCUGAUGAAUGCCAACGGCUCUGAUGGAAAAAA